RNAcentral lists this ribosomal RNA (392 nucleotides) under uncultured bacterium. RNAcentral describes it as "partial 16S ribosomal RNA". It matches the Rfam family "Bacterial small subunit ribosomal RNA", at positions 523 to 918 of the family's 1533-position model. The record is from RNAcentral.
AUACGGAGGAUCCAAGCGUUAUCCGGAUUUAUUGGGUUUAAAGGGUGCGUAGGCGGACUGGUAAGUCAGCUGUGAAAGUUUGCGGCUUAACCGCAAAAUUGCAGUUGAUACUGUCAGUCUUGAGUGUGCAUGAGGUGGGCGGAAUUUGUGGUGUAGCGGUGAAAUGCUUAGAUAUCACGAGGAACUCCAAUUGCGAAGGCAGCUCACUGGGCAUAACUGACGCUGAUGCACGAAGGUGUGGGUAUCAAACAGGAUUAGAUACCCUGGUAGUCCACACAGUAAACUAUGAAUACUCGCUGUUUGCGAUAUACAGUAAGCGGCCAAGCGAAAGCAUUAAGUAUUCCACCUGGGGAGUACGCCGGCAACGGUGAAACUCAAAGGAAUUGACGGGG